UAGGGAAUCUUCGGCAAUGGGGGCAACCCUGACCGAGCAACGCCGCGUGAGUGAAGAAGGUUUUCGGAUCGUAAAGCUCUGUUGUAAGAGAAGAACGUGUGUGAGAAUGGAAAGUUCACACAGUGACGGUAACUUACCAGAAAGGGACGGCUAACUACGUGCUAG
Molecule: ribosomal RNA, 165 nt
Filed under: uncultured bacterium
Lineage: Bacteria
Description: partial 16S rRNA
Rfam family: Bacterial small subunit ribosomal RNA
Source: RNAcentral